This 892-nucleotide ribosomal RNA is filed under the name Bacillus thuringiensis. RNAcentral describes it as "bacterial SSU rRNA". It matches the Rfam family "Bacterial small subunit ribosomal RNA", at positions 40 to 873 of the family's 1533-position model. The record is from RNAcentral. Lineage: Bacteria; Bacillati; Bacillota; Bacilli; Caryophanales; Bacillaceae.
CGGAACGAGCUGAUCCUGCGCUCAGAGUUUGAUCCUGGCUCAGAGUUUGAUCCUGAGCUCAGAGUUUGAUCCUGUGCUCAAACGUGAUCCUGCUGCCCAUAAGACUGGGAUAACUCCGGGAAACCGGGGCUAAUACCGGAUAACAUUUUGAACCGCAUGGUUCGAAAUUGAAAGGCGGCUUCGGCUGUCACUUAUGGAUGGACCCGCGUCGCAUUAGCUAGUUGGUGAGGUAACGGCUCACCAAGGCAACGAUGCGUAGCCGACCUGAGAGGGUGAUCGGCCACACUGGGACUGACACACGGCCCAGACUCCUACGGGAGGCAGCAGUAGGGAAUCUUCCGCAAUGGACGAAAGUCUGACGGAGCAACGCCGCGUGAGUGAUGAAGGCUUUCGGGUCGUAAAACUCUGUUGUUAGGGAAGAACAAGUGCUAGUUGAAUAAGCUGGCACCUUGACGGAACCUAACCAGAAAGCCACGGCUAACUACGUGCCAGCAGCCGCGGUAAUACGUACGUGGCAAGCGUUAUCCGGAAUUAUUGGGCGUAAAGCGCGCGCAGGUGGUUUCUUAAGUCUGAUGUGAAAGCCCACGGCUCAACCGUGGAGAGUCAUUGGAAACUGGGAGACUUGAGUGCAGAAGAGGACAGUGGAAUUCCAUGUGUAGCGGUGAAAUGCGUAGAGAUAUGGAGGAACACCAGUGGCCGAGGGCGACUUUCUGGUCUGUAACUGACCACUGAGGGCGCGAAAGCAGUGCGGGGCAAACAGGCAUUAGAUAACCCUGGCUAGUCCACGACGUAAACGAUGAGUGCUAGGUGCUUAGAGGAUUCCGCCGUAUAGUGCUGGAAGCUUAACGCAUUUAGGCAACUCCCGUCCCUGGGGGAAGUACGGGACCGCAAA